GCAAGUCGAGCGGACCACAAAGAAGCUUGCUUCUGAGUGGUUAGCGGCGGACGGGUGAGUAACACGUGGGCAACCUGCCCGUAAGACCGGGAUAACUUCGGGAAACCGGAGAUAAUACCGGAUAACACCGAAGAUCGCACGAUCUUUGGUUGAAAGGCGGCUUUUGCUGUCACUUAAGGAUGGGCCCGCGGCGCAUUAGGUAGUUGGUGAGGUAACGGCUCACCAAGGCGACGAUGCGUAGCCGACCUGAGAGGGGGAUC
RNAcentral lists this ribosomal RNA (260 nucleotides) under uncultured bacterium. RNAcentral's name for it is "partial 16S ribosomal RNA". It matches the Rfam family "Bacterial small subunit ribosomal RNA", at positions 57 to 305 of the family's 1533-position model. The record is from RNAcentral.